RNAcentral lists this ribosomal RNA (950 nucleotides) under Tenebrionidae sp. COL1075. Its description in RNAcentral is "SSU rRNA". It matches the Rfam family "Eukaryotic small subunit ribosomal RNA", at positions 38 to 934 of the family's 1831-position model. Lineage: Eukaryota; Metazoa; Arthropoda; Insecta; Coleoptera; Tenebrionidae. The record is from RNAcentral.
CAAAGAUUAAGCCAUGCAUGUCUCAGUACAAGCCGAAUUAAGGUGAAACCGCGAAAGGCUCAUUAAAUCAGUUAUGGUUCCUUAGAUCGUACCCACAUUUACUUGGAUAACUGUGGUAAUUCUAGAGCUAAUACAUGCAAACAGAGCUCCGACCGGAGACGGAAGGAGCGCUUUUAUUAGAUCAAAACCAAUCGGUGGCGGUUUCCGUCAUCGUACAACUUGGUGACUCUGAAUAACUUUACGCUGAUCGCACGGUCUCGCACCGGCGACGCAUCUUUCAAAUGUCUGCCUUAUCAACUGUCGAUGGUAGGUUCUGCGCCUACCAUGGUUGUAACGGGUAACGGGGAAUCAGGGUUCGAUUCCGGAGAGGGAGCCUGAGAAACGGCUACCACAUCCAAGGAAGGCAGCAGGCGCGCAAAUUACCCACUCCCGGCACGGGGAGGUAGUGACGAAAAAUAACGAUACGGGACUCAUCCGAGGCCCCGUAAUCGGAAUGAGUACACUCUAAACCCUUUAACGAGGAUCAAUUGGAGGGCAAGUCUGGUGCCAGCAGCCGCGGUAAUUCCAGCUCCAAUAGCGUAUAUUAAAGUUGUUGCGGUUAAAAAGCUCGUAGUCGAAUCUGUGUCCCGCGCCGCCGGUUCAUCGUUCGCGGUGUUAACUGGCGUGCCGCGGGACGUCCUGCCGGUGGGCUUAGCUCGAGAGGGCGGCCCAACUCAAUCCCGCCGCGGUGCUCUUCAUUGAGUGUCGAGGUGGGCCGGCACGUUUACUUUGAACAAAUUAGAGUGCUUAAAGCAGGCUAAAACUUCGCCUGAAUACUGUGUGCAUGGAAUAAUGGAAUAGGACCUCGGUUCUAUUUUGUUGGUUUUCGGAACCCCGAGGUAAUGAUUAAUAGGAACGGAUGGGGGCAUUCGUAUUGCGACGUUAGAGUGAAAUUCUUGGAUCGUCGCAAG